This is a long non-coding RNA of Amblyraja radiata (thorny skate), 204 nucleotides long. RefSeq lists it as uncharacterized. The transcript is spliced from 3 exons. The record is from RefSeq and is a predicted model, not a curated record. NCBI's taxonomy places the organism in Eukaryota, Metazoa, Chordata, Chondrichthyes, Rajiformes, Rajidae.
GAACAUGGAAAAAUAAAAGUUAAGAAGCCAAGAGUUAUUAUGCAAGAAAUUGAAAGAACAAAAAUAGUUUGUAUUGACUGUUUAGUAUUGACUGUCUCAUUUUUUUUUUGAAGGGGGAGUCUGCCUCCUAGAUGGAGCAAGUCUACGAGACCAGACGGAGAGUAAAUUCAGAAUAGAGAUGUCUAGUCCAGGAUAGACCCCUGU